Uranotaenia lowii is the source of this 1100-nucleotide long non-coding RNA. RefSeq lists it as uncharacterized. The record is from RefSeq and is a predicted model, not a curated record. The transcript is spliced from 3 exons. NCBI's taxonomy places the organism in Eukaryota, Metazoa, Arthropoda, Insecta, Diptera, Culicidae.
UUUUUUUAAAUAUUCAAUUGAAAAUGUGUGUAUGCAAGAUAAAUUUGUUAUUUUUACUGGUUGGAAACAGACUGUUCAUAUCAUAUUGUUUGGAAUUGGGUGGAUUUAUAAAAAAAAGUGAAAUCUACAUGAAUAUAUUAAGGUCCACCCACUCUGCGUCUGAUUCAAGAUUUGUUUUCUUGGAGAUGGAGAUGGAUGCUUAUCCGUUUCCCUCGUACAAAAUGAAACAAGGGUUCAUUUUCGUCCAUAAGAACCAGCAGACCCUUGCGAAGGUACGACCCUGCUGAACUGAGCUGCAACAGACACGACUGAAGGGGAAUCGAAGGUGUUCGAGGUGAAGCAGCAACGUAUGAUAUCUGCCGAAAUUCCACAGCAGCUGAACGAAGUGCAUACCUACUAUAAUUACAAAAUCCCCGAAACGGUUGAUGAAACCAUCAAUUAGCUGAAGAAAAAUUGAAUGCUUUUCCUCAGCUUUUCCAAGGACGUUCAACCACAACUGAAUUGUUUCGCAGACUCGGGAUCUCAAGACGACGACCGAUGUGGUCGACAGUCAGGAGGAGGAACGUCGUGCCGAGUUCUGCUAUCAACCAUGAACGAAGGAAGCAGUAUCACUCUAUUUCUUUACCAGAACCUGAAAAUGGCAACAGGCAUUCGAUUUUCGUUAUGCCUAUGGGAGAGAUCUUGAUCCGAUUGACGACCGACGUUUCAUUUCUAGAAGCGCCUAUCGGGGGAUCUAAAAAAUUCCAUUACUGUUUUGAGACGCGUUUACAAGGAGGCGGACUUCAUUGAUGCUGUUGCCGCUACAACUAACAAGCGGCCACCAUAAUGUCUGUCAAUAGCCGUUGAAGCUGUCGGAAAUCCGGGCAAGGUACUUUACUGAAAAUGAAGCUUCCCGUUUGUGUCCGCGGCAGGUUUCUCCUCCAAGACGACCACGAACGGCAUCGGCGCAACUUGCAGCGGUUUGUUGUUUUAAGGCCUACCCUUAUCGUGAAACCACCUACACCGUGAACAACAAAGGAUGAACUGAAAAUCUCACUGAAGGUCCUGAAAGCCAUUACCAAUGGAGAGGUCUCGCCAUGGACACGGUUAAAGUAUACGGA